This 775-nucleotide ribosomal RNA is filed under the name uncultured Neocallimastigales. Its description in RNAcentral is "partial large subunit ribosomal RNA". It matches the Rfam family "Eukaryotic large subunit ribosomal RNA", at positions 24 to 644 of the family's 3401-position model. Lineage: Eukaryota; Fungi; Neocallimastigomycota; Neocallimastigomycetes; Neocallimastigales. The record is from RNAcentral.
UAUGUGAUCGUCUCUCGCAUAUCAAUAAGCGGAGGAAAAGAAACUAACAAGGAUUCCCCUAGUAACGGCGAGUGAAGCGGGAAGAGCUCAAAUUUGAAAUCUUAAAGGGUUUCCCUUUACGAAUUGUAGUUUAAAGAAGUGUUUUCUGUUGAGGUUUUGGUAAAAGUUCUUUGGAAUAGGACAUCAUAGAGGGUGAGAAUCCCGUAUUUGACCUUUACUUUCAACUUUGUGAUACACUUUCAAAGAGUCGGAUUGUUUGGGAAUGCAGUCCAAAAUGGGUGGUAAAUUUCAUCUAAAGCUAAAUAUUGGCGAGAGACCGAUAGCGAACAAGUACCGUGAGGGAAAGAUGAAAAGAACUUUGAAAAGAGAGUUAAACAGUACGUGAAAUUGUCAAAAGGGAAGCGUUUGACACCAGUGUUGUUUUUCUGAAAAUCAAUUAAAGAACUGUUUAUGCUAAGUUGUUUAGACUUUAUCAGCUAUCUGCUUAGUUUUGAGCUUUUCUUUAAUGCACUUUUCAGUUAACAAGUCAACAUCAAUUUCUUUUGCUGAUAAAAAAGCUUGAGGAAGGUGGCUUGAGAUUCGUCUUAAGUGUUUAUAGCCUCUUGCCUAUGCAGUCGGAGAGAUUGAGGUCUGCAGCGUAGAUCCUUCGGGGCUAAAUGCAUUUGUGCUAAGUUAUAGCAUUUUAUAGACAACUUGUUGACUAUGAUUUGUCUUGUAGCUUACUCGCUUAUGUUAUUUUACCUACGCUUAGGAUGUUGAAGAUAUGCGCGACACG